Molecule: ribosomal RNA, 562 nt
Filed under: uncultured bacterium
Lineage: Bacteria
Description: bacterial SSU rRNA
Rfam family: Bacterial small subunit ribosomal RNA
Source: RNAcentral
CUACGGGAGGCAGCAGUAGGGAAUAUUGGUCAAUGGACGAGAGUCUGAACCAGCCAUGCCGCGUGCAGGAAGACGGCCUUCUGGGUUGUAAACUGCUUUUCUCAGGGAAGAAAAUGGUCUUGCGAGACAAAUUGCCGGUACCUGAGGAAUAAGCACCGGCUAACUCCGUGCCAGCAGCCGCGGUAAUACGGAGGGUGCGAGCGUUGUCCGGAUUUAUUGGGUUUAAAGGGUGCGUAGGCGGCCUAUUAAGUCAGUGGUGAAAGGUAUCAGCUUAACUGAUGAUGUGCCAUUGAAACUGACAGGCUUGAGUACAGACGAGGUAGGCGGAAUUUAUGGUGUAGCGGUGAAAUGCAUAGAUACCGGGAAGAACACCAGUGGCGAAGGCGCUCUGCUGGGCCAUAACUGACGCUCAUGGACGAAAGCCAGGGGAGCGAAAGGGAUUAGAUACCCUGGUAGUCCACGCCGUAAACGAUGGACACUAGUUGUUGGAAUUAUUCAGUGACUAAGCGAAAGUGAUAAGUGUCCCACCUGGGGAGUACGGUCGCAAGAUUGAAACUCAAAG